RNAcentral lists this ribosomal RNA (253 nucleotides) under uncultured bacterium. RNAcentral's name for it is "partial 16S ribosomal RNA". It matches the Rfam family "Bacterial small subunit ribosomal RNA", at positions 524 to 776 of the family's 1533-position model. The record is from RNAcentral.
GACAGAGGUGCCGAGCGUUAGGCGGAAUCACUGGGCUUAAAGAGCGUGUAGGCGGGUCGUUAAGUCUCUUGUGAAAUCCCACCGCUCAACGGUGGAACUGCUGGGCAUACUGGCGAUCUUGAGCCACCUAGGGGCAGACGGAACAAGCGGUGGAGCGGUGAAAUGCGUAGAUAUCGCUUGGAACGCCGACGGUGAAAACAGUCUGCUGGGGGUGUGCUGACGCUGAGACACGAAAGCCAGGGGAGCGAACGGG